AAAAACAUGUCUACUAAGAGGUUAUUUGUAGUCUAGCCUGCUCAGUGAUAUUAAUAUUAAAUAGCCGCGGUAUUCUGACCGUGCAAAGGUAGCAUAAUCAUUAGUUUUUUAAUUGAAAGCUUGUAUGAAUGGUUGGACAAAGAAACAACUGUCUCUUUUAUUAAAAUUGAAUUUAACUUUUAAGUGAAAAGGCUUAAAUUUUCCGGGGGGACGAUAAGACCCUAUAAAGCUUUAUAAAUUUAUAGACUUUAUAUAUUUAAAAUAAAAAUAAUUUCUAAAACAUUUAUUUGGUUGGGGCGACAAAAGUAUAAUUUCAAAUAACUGCUAUUUUAAAAUUACAAUAAUUUUUGUUUUAUGAAUAAUUGAUCCUUCUAUGAGGAGUAAAAGUUCAAGUUACUUUAGGGAUAACAGCGUCAUUUUUUCUGAGAGUACUUAUCGAAGAAAGAGUUUGCGACCUCCGAUGUUGAAUUAAAAUGUCUUUGUAGUGCAGCAGCUGCAUAAGAAGGUCUGUUCGACCUUUAAUAUUUUACGUGAUCUGAGUUCAGACCGG
Molecule: ribosomal RNA, 550 nt
Filed under: Achelous spinicarpus
Lineage: Eukaryota; Metazoa; Arthropoda; Malacostraca; Decapoda; Portunidae
Description: partial 16S ribosomal RNA
Rfam family: Archaeal large subunit ribosomal RNA
Source: RNAcentral